GUAAGUAUAUCGUCAAUGUUAUACUCGGCUUCCUCAAUGACUUUUUGUCAAUAACAAUGACAAGAAGAAGUUGGUGGAGCGACAGACGCUUCCUCGAAGAAGAUAAUCGUGUCACUCACACCGCAUUCCGAUUUGAAGAAGUCCAAUAAACUGUAUCACUUUAUUAGGAGAGCAGAAGGUUUGUGAGUGAGUUCGGGUUCCCUGUCCGACUUAAUCCUGAGAUUUUAGGCAACCAGACCUCAUUCGUCGGAAUCCAUGACCCCUCCAAAUCCUCGUCGACCAAUAGGAAACGACUCGCGACAGGAUCGCAUGAUCUCGAGGGAAGGACGCGGUAUCGGGGCGCGUCGGCCAGAAAGGGCAUGAAAAAAGGAACGA
This 375-nucleotide unclassified non-coding RNA is filed under the name Bombus terrestris (buff-tailed bumblebee). RNAcentral describes it as "misc RNA ENSBTSG00005025573.1". Lineage: Eukaryota; Metazoa; Arthropoda; Insecta; Hymenoptera; Apidae. The record is from RNAcentral.